This 696-nucleotide ribosomal RNA is filed under the name uncultured Delftia sp. RNAcentral describes it as "bacterial SSU rRNA". It matches the Rfam family "Bacterial small subunit ribosomal RNA", at positions 56 to 749 of the family's 1533-position model. The record is from RNAcentral. Lineage: Bacteria; Pseudomonadati; Pseudomonadota; Betaproteobacteria; Burkholderiales; Comamonadaceae.
UGCAAGUCGAACGGUAACAGGUCUUCGGACGCUGACGAGUGGCGAACGGGUGAGUAAUACAUCGGAACGUGCCCAGUCGUGGGGGAUAACUACUCGAAAGAGUAGCUAAUACCGCAUACGAUCUGAGGAUGAAAGCGGGGGACCUUCGGGCCUCGCGCGAUUGGAGCGGCCGAUGGCAGAUUAGGUAGUUGGUGGGAUAAAAGCUUACCAAGCCGACGAUCUGUAGCUGGUCUGAGAGGACGACCAGCCACACUGGGACUGAGACACGGCCCAGACUCCUACGGGAGGCAGCAGUGGGGAAUUUUGGACAAUGGGCGAAAGCCUGAUCCAGCAAUGCCGCGUGCAGGAUGAAGGCCUUCGGGUUGUAAACUGCUUUUGUACGGAACGAAAAAGCUUCUCCUAAUACGAGAGGCCCAUGACGGUACCGUAAGAAUAAGCACCGGCUAACUACGUGCCAGCAGCCGCGGUAAUACGUAGGGUGCGGGCGUUAAUCGGAAUUACUGGGCGUAAAGCGUGCGCAGGCGGUUAUGUAAGACAGAUGUGAAAUCCCCGGGCUCAACCUGGGAACUGCAUUUGUGACUGCAUGGCUAGAGUACGGUAGAGGGGGAUGGAAUUCCGCGUGUAGCAGUGAAAUGCGUAGAUAUGCGGAGGAACACCGAUGGCGAAGGCAAUCCCCUGGACCUGUACUGACGCUCU